This 253-nucleotide ribosomal RNA is filed under the name uncultured bacterium. RNAcentral describes it as "partial 16S ribosomal RNA". It matches the Rfam family "Bacterial small subunit ribosomal RNA", at positions 524 to 776 of the family's 1533-position model. The record is from RNAcentral.
UACAGAGGUCCCAAGCGUUGUUCGGAUUCAUUGGGCGUAAAGGGUGCGUAGGUGGCGUCGUAAGUCGGGUGUGAAAUUUCGGAGCUCAACUCCGAAACUGCAUUCGAUACUGCGGUGCUUGAGGACUGGAGAGGAGACUGGAAUUUACGGUGUAGCGGUGAAAUGCGUAGAUAUCGUAAGGAAGACCAGUGGCGAAGGCGGGUCUCUGGACAGUUCCUGACGCUGAGGCACGAAGGUCAGGGGAGCAAACGGG